CACCCUCAGACUUGACAAACUUUGGAAGGCCAUCAGACAAACCCCGAGCAAAACCAGGUUGAGUUUGGACACGAACUUUGACGGCCUCCAUGGGGCAGAGAGCAACAUCCGCAAUCACUUCUGCAGAUGCUGAGCCAGCAAGGCACCCUGAGCACUGUAACCAAGCAACGUUGGCACCCAACCCCGGAAGAAUCCUCUCACUCCCUGCUCCUUUAGCAGAAUUCCAAAACCAGACGAGAUAUUCUUGUACUUUGCUGGGUCGAUCUAAAUUUUGGAAUGUGGCCAAAGCAGUGCUAUUUUAGGCAUGCAUGGAAAAUGAAUAUUGAAUAGUAAAGAGAAUUAUGGGUGACUAAUCGUUUUAAAUUAUGAUUGAUAUCAAAUAAUUUAAUAAUAUUAAUCAUA
Molecule: non-coding RNA, 402 nt
Organism: Benincasa hispida (wax gourd)
Lineage: Eukaryota; Viridiplantae; Streptophyta; Magnoliopsida; Cucurbitales; Cucurbitaceae
Source: RefSeq, a predicted model, not a curated record